GCGCCCGUAGCUCAAAGGAUAGAGCGGGGGACUCCUAAGCCUCAGGUUGGACGUUCGAAUCGUCUCGGGCGCA
This is a transfer RNA of 73 nucleotides. It matches the Rfam family "tRNA". From Rfam's summary of the family: Transfer RNA (tRNA) molecules are approximately 80 nucleotides in length. Their secondary structure includes four short double-helical elements and three loops (D, anti-codon, and T loops).